AUGGGCAAUGGCAUCUCCAAAAAGACAUGCUUCUCCGGUGACACCUAUGCGCCGGUUGUCUCAUCGGACCCAUUACCCGGUGACAUCCAUGGGUACUCCUUCAAGUAUGUGCCAAUAGCCGUCGCCUUCGACAAGUCCUCAAUGGCUAAUGUGCUCUCAUCGAAAGCACCCUUCUUCUCUUUAUCCGGAGCGGCCAUCAGCGCCAACCAGGCGACAUCAUCAUCAAUGCCGUCGUUCUGCCUGCUUAAUGAGUUGAUGGGGCCGCAAUCAUCUGUGUGCAUCGUUAAGAGCUCAUGCUCCUUUGCCGCUGCACCGCUCCAGGCCACACCAGCAAGGUCGUCCUUGUCUAGACACUUCUUGGAUUCAUCCAGCACCCUAUCCACUAUCUCCAACCAGCUGCCACGGUCGGCCUUCAUGUCCGGCUCUCAGUGUUGCAAUGAGCGGCCUCUCGACAAAUCUUUGGCCACAGCCGACUCCAGGCUCGAUUUCAGGGUGCCACGCAAUAGCCUCCUAUCAAAGGAUCCUACUGAGUUUCCAAAUAUGGAUUCCUUCGGGGAUGGGGAUCACCGCUCCCCACCGAGCGAUAAUGUGCAGUGGGCUCGGGGCAUGGCCGGCGAGGACCGAUUCCAAGUGGCGGUCUCAGAGGAGCGUGGGUGGGUGUUCGUGGGGAUUUAUGACGGCUUCUUCGAUCCAGAUGCGACCGACUACCUCUUUGCAAACCUCCACGUCGCCGUGCACCACGCACUCAAGGGUGUGCUCUCGGAAAACAUGAAGUGCAAUGAGCCGACAGCCACUUCUAAUCAUCUCUUUUCCCUGAAUGGAGGCAAUCAGAGCCCGAAAUUUGAACGUAAGCCGGCGAAGAGGGGUCGGACAAAACAUCCGGAGAAGGACAAUUCUGCCAUGUCUGGGGGUGGCCCGAAGAUACACCAGAAAGUCCUCGGGGCAUUGGAUCAGGCGCUGAGGGAGACGGAGGAGGCAUUUUUCAAGGAAGCAGAGGAGGGUGCGACCGACAACCCAUAG
Molecule: ribosomal RNA, 1020 nt
Filed under: Triticum aestivum (bread wheat)
Lineage: Eukaryota; Viridiplantae; Streptophyta; Magnoliopsida; Poales; Poaceae
Description: partial small subunit ribosomal RNA
Source: RNAcentral